Molecule: long non-coding RNA, 2553 nt
Organism: Hypanus sabinus (Atlantic stingray)
Lineage: Eukaryota; Metazoa; Chordata; Chondrichthyes; Myliobatiformes; Dasyatidae
Exons: 6
Source: RefSeq, a predicted model, not a curated record
UCCUGUACCAGCAAAGAUGGAAGACUGCUUAGGCUGGCUUGGUCUUUUCUUUGAAACAGAGGAGGAGGAUGGGAGACUAAUAGAGGUGUAUGAAUAUAAAUAAAAUAAAUAUUUCUCUUAACAUAGGGUCUAACAGCAGGAAGCGUAACUGGCAAGUUAUUGGUAGAAAGAUUAGGAAGCAGACGAUGAAAGCCUUUUCACCCAAUGAGUGGCUGGGGUCUGGAAUUCACUGCCUGAGAAGGCAGGAAACAGCAUUAUGUUUAAAGUGCACCUGGUUUUGAAAAUUAAAAGCCAUGACGUGCAAUUGUGGAGCUUGUGGGCAAGGACACAAUGGAUUGAAUAAUCUCUUGUGCUGUAACAUUUAUUUGAUUCUAUCAUGUAGACAUAGCUGGAGAAUGAAAUGUUGCCAAUAAAACCAAACUAGCACAUGACGCACCACAUUAAACAAUAACUUUAUUCAGUAACUGUAUUUCUUUAUUAAUUGUGAUUAGUUCAAACAAAAAGGUUCACUAUGCAGUGUUAAAUCAAAACUCAUUAACUGUUUGGUUACACAUCUUUGUGAAUAGUUUCACAACCUUCAAUAAGUCUACUCAGAUGUUAUCUCUUUUAGUAGUUUCACAACUUUCAAUGGUCUACUCAGAUGUUAAUUCACUCUGGAUGAAUUUGGCCAGGUUUCAACAUGGUGAAUACUUCAAUGAGUCAGAGACUUGGCGUCUUCUUCAGCAACGAUUGGUUUCCAUAGUUACUGCUACUGAUCGUUUUAUGAGAAACCUUUCAAUACAAUUUUUCGUAAACUUUUCCGACAUUGCUUUGAUUUUAUAGCAGAUUAAUAUGGCUAAUGUUGACUCCUUUUCUCUAUAUGUACUUGUUUGAAUCUUUAACAUUUAUGCAGGUUCUCCUGUUCACCUGAGUCACCUGGUCCAUAGUUAUAAAAGUUUGGACGUGCACAAUACUGUCCCAGGUACACGAUAUCUCAAAAUCUCUGGAUCAGUACUGGUGGUGGAGUGGGGGUAAAAUUGACUCAGGUAGAAACAUAGAGAGCUCAGAGACAUUGGUGUCAUGGCAUCGACCUUUCCUCAAGGUCAAAUGACAACAAAACUAAAGAGAUGGUUAUUGACUUUGGAAGGGGUUGGGGGUGGGGGUGCUGAGACAAUGCUCAUGUUCCUGUCUACGUCAAUGGUGUUGAGGUUGAGAGCUUCAAAUUCCUAGCUGUGAACAUCGCCAACAGCUUGUCCUGAUCUAACCACAUUGAUGCCACGGCCAAGAAAUGAUAUGACAAUGCUUCUGUAUGUGACCACAAAGACCUGCAGAAAGCUGUGGACACAACCCAGCACAUCACGGGAGUCAGCCUUCCUCCUAUGGACUCUGUUUAUCCUUCUUGCUUCCUCAGUAAAGCAGCCAGUGUACAUAACAACACAACCCACCCUGGUCAUUUUCUCUUCUCCCCUCUCCCAGCAGGCAGAAGAUACAGCGUAUCUUCUUCGGUUGCUCAUCGGAAUCCGAUGACGACGUCCACUCUUUAAUGGUGAGAUCUUUGAUGACUAGACAGUCCUACCCUGGACCCACAAGUUCUAUUGCAGGUCUGCUUGUCACUGAUGAGCAAAACCCUGGUCUUUCGGUGGUGCAUGAUUGGAAGGUGACUAUGUUUUCACGAAGCUUCUUCAUCAAGAGAAAAAGCAAACAGAUUUAGGAGAUGCUGCGGCACUUCAGGACACUGGAUGAUACAGAUUUGGACGAUACCCUGUUUUAUAUCAAUGAGGACUGCAGAGGAAAAGCUACCUAGCUGUGUUGGAAAUCACUUGCAUAUGCAGCCAUUUAAAAAAAUAUAUGGGCGUAUCUUGGAGUUCAUCCAAAAGUACAGAAAUGGGAAUUUUACUCUGGCGCAACUUUCCCACACAACUUGUGUGUCUGCAAAGUGCAGAUGUCGCCUAACCUGCUGAGUUCCUUCGGCAUUUUGUGCGCGUUGCUCAAGUUGAAUCUAUUCAGCCCAUCCAGCAGAAUAGAGAAGGACAAAAACCAUAAGGGUUCCUUUGAAGACCCUGACCUGGAGUUACACGCAGACUUCGGUUCUUCGCGGGAAUGGGACCCAUUCUCAGGGUUUCAUGACCGGCCGUUGUUGUUCGGCAUGCCAAGAGCUCGGCCUAAGUAUUCAGUUGGGCUAUGGGAGCCUAGGAUCUCGGGGCAAUGGAGACAGGCGGACUGAGGGUUGGUGUCACCACAGGAGACCUGUGUGUCUUCGGGGAGUUGGAAUACCUGUGGCUGUGUGCCCAGAGAUUCAUGAUCUUUGGGCACAGAGCUAAAAAAAAAGCAACGUGGCGGACUUUUACCAUCGUAAACCAGCGAGUUGUUUGUAAUGUCUCCCCACUCGCUGUGAAAAUGGAGACACCUCCUUCUCCCUUAUUAGGGAGAGAGAGAAAACCUGCGGUACGUCGAAUGCCGGGUGAAACACAAAGGCUUUGGGGUAACUGCAUUUGUGUCUUUGCUGUUGCUUUGCUCAUCUUUGAGUGCUCGGUGAUGGGUGCCGAUGCCUUUUUUUUGUCAGUGGGUGGAGGG